This is a long non-coding RNA of Arachis stenosperma, 624 nucleotides long. RefSeq lists it as uncharacterized. NCBI's taxonomy places the organism in Eukaryota, Viridiplantae, Streptophyta, Magnoliopsida, Fabales, Fabaceae. The record is from RefSeq and is a predicted model, not a curated record. The transcript has 3 exons.
GAUUUUAUGAAACAGAGCACUGCUGUAAUCUCUCUUCUCCGGUCGCUGCUGGAGCUGGAGCCUUGUUCUUUCAACUCUGCUUCGCGGUGUUCAUCUGCUCACGCCGUUUUGAAACUUCUGCUCUACUCCGCCGUGGUGCCGUGCUCUGUCCUCUCAGGCAAAUCGACAACUCUCCGCCGUUCACCUUUCUCUCAAGCCUCUCGCAUCAUACUCGAUCCUUAGAGGUACAUAAAGCAGAACAAUGACGUUGCUCUCUGUGCAUCCAGAAUGGGUUUGGGAUAAUCUUUAUUGACUGAAAGUUGCUAGAGACAGAGCUAAGUUCAGCAAAGAGAAACAUGGUGGGAGUUUAUAACAAUAUUCUUUGUUCAAGACAUCAGUCACCGAAAAUGGGAAAAUAGAAGCUAGGCAAAAAUAAAAGUGUACGGAAAAUAGAAUAAUUAGUUAUGCACUUCUUGUAUUGCUGAGUCAUUAGAUUUGUAUUCAACUCUUUUUAAGUCAGAAUAUUUUUUUUCUUUAGAGGCUUUUUAUUAAAUCGGCUUGUCAUAUAUUGAUAUUUGAACUAGAAAUCUUUAUACAAUAUGUAUAAUGUUUUUGAAAUUUUAAUAUGAUAAAAUUUAUUGGUUA